UUAAAUUGAAGAGUUUGAUCAUGGCUCAGAUUGAACGCUGGCGGCAGGCCUAACACAUGCAAGUCGAACGGUAACAGGAAUCAGCUUGCUGAUUCGCUGACGAGUGGCGGACGGGUGAGUAAUGUCUGGGAAACUGCCUGAUGGAGGGGGAUA
Molecule: ribosomal RNA, 153 nt
Filed under: Shigella flexneri
Lineage: Bacteria; Pseudomonadati; Pseudomonadota; Gammaproteobacteria; Enterobacterales; Enterobacteriaceae
Description: partial 16S ribosomal RNA
Rfam family: Bacterial small subunit ribosomal RNA
Source: RNAcentral